ACCACAGCGUCACGUAUCUAUUGACGUGAAAAGGGGGGCGUUCUAGAAUGGAACAGCCUGCCUAACUUCUGUUCUUGUUCUGUUUCCACCACAGGAAGGCUGAGGUGUGGGAAGACCUUCCCAGGGACUCCCUGUAGGAAUCUCACCGAUGCAGACGAAUCCCGUGGAGCUGAGCUUGCUGCCGGGCGAACACUCACAAUGGAAGGAGCCGAGGGAUCUACAAGGCCUGAAGUGAAUGGGGAACGAAGACAUGUGGUCUACAGCGUAGAUGCACAUCUACAUGACUAAAGACUCGGUAGGACCAUCAGGAACAGCCUAUUUGGAAAAGGGUUCA
Molecule: long non-coding RNA, 334 nt
Organism: Peromyscus leucopus (white-footed mouse)
Lineage: Eukaryota; Metazoa; Chordata; Mammalia; Rodentia; Cricetidae
Exons: 2
Source: RefSeq, a predicted model, not a curated record